This 211-nucleotide unclassified non-coding RNA is filed under the name plant metagenome. RNAcentral's name for it is "partial contains small subunit ribosomal RNA, internal transcribed spacer 1, and 5.8S ribosomal RNA". The record is from RNAcentral.
UUUCCGUGGGUGAGCCUGCGGAAGGAUCAUUCAUAAUAAAGUGUUUUAUGGCACUUUUUAAAAAUCCAUAUCCACCUUGUGUGCAAUGUUAGAUCUCGUCAAUCUUGGCGAGAUUUUUAUACAUCAACUCAUUUUUUAACUAAUUUGUCUGAAAAAUAUUAUGAAUACUUAAUUCAAAAUACAACUUUCAACAACGGAUCUCUUGGCUCUC